Molecule: microRNA precursor, 204 nt
Filed under: Oryza sativa Japonica Group (Japanese rice)
Lineage: Eukaryota; Viridiplantae; Streptophyta; Magnoliopsida; Poales; Poaceae
Description: MIR812 microRNA precursor family
Rfam family: MIR812 microRNA precursor family
Source: Rfam by way of RNAcentral
AAUAAGUUUAUUUAUGGGUUUGUCUUCAAUACUUGACCAUCCGUUUUAUUUAAAAUUUUGUUAUGAUCAGUAUUUUUGUUGUUAUUAGAUGAUAAAAACAUGUAUAAUAUUUUGUGUGUGAGUUAUUUCUUUUAAUUUUUUAUAUUUUUUUUAAAUAAAACGGACGAUCACCCGUUAAAUACAGAAUACAUAAAUAAACUUAUA